This 253-nucleotide ribosomal RNA is filed under the name uncultured bacterium. RNAcentral describes it as "partial 16S ribosomal RNA". It matches the Rfam family "Bacterial small subunit ribosomal RNA", at positions 524 to 776 of the family's 1533-position model. The record is from RNAcentral.
UACGGAGGGGGCAAGCGUUACUCGGAAUUAUUGGGCGUAAAGCGCGCGUAGGCGGCUUGGCGAGUCAAAGGUGAAAUCCCCCGGCUCAACCGAGGAACUGCCUUUGAAACUGCCUGGCUUGAGGCCGGGAGGGGGUAGCGGAAUUCCCAGUGUAGCGGUGAAAUGCGUAGAUAUUGGGAGGAACACCGGUGGCGAAGGCGGCUACCUGGACCGGUUCUGACGCUGAUGCGCGAAAGCGUGGGGAGCAAACAGG